Molecule: ribosomal RNA, 253 nt
Filed under: uncultured bacterium
Lineage: Bacteria
Description: partial 16S ribosomal RNA
Rfam family: Bacterial small subunit ribosomal RNA
Source: RNAcentral
UACGAAGGGGGCUAGCGUUGCUCGGAAUCACUGGGCGUAAAGGGUGCGUAGGCGGGUCUUUAAGUCAGGGGUGAAAUCCUGGAGCUCAACUCCAGAACUGCCUUUGAUACUGAAGAUCUUGAGUCCGGGAGAGGUGAGUGGAACUGCGAGCGUAGAGGUGAAAUUCGUAGAUAUUCGCAAGAACACCAGUGGCGAAGGCGGCUCACUGGCCCGGUACUGACGCUGAGGCACGAAAGCGUGGGGAGCAAACAGG